RNAcentral lists this ribosomal RNA (666 nucleotides) under Triticum aestivum (bread wheat). Its description in RNAcentral is "partial small subunit ribosomal RNA". The record is from RNAcentral. Lineage: Eukaryota; Viridiplantae; Streptophyta; Magnoliopsida; Poales; Poaceae.
AUGGCCUUCAUUGAUAAUAGCAGGAAGCAAACGGAAAACAACCUGAUGGUAAAGGUCCUAAGACCGGAAGAUCUGAAGAUCAAAAGAAAAAGAAAACCAUCAGCCCUAAUAGCUGCAGCACAACACUCCAUACAAUCCAUCCUGAACAACCUAGCUCCAAGUCCGACGGUGAAAACUAGACAGGUCACGAAGGAUCACCGAACGAGCCAUCUGUCUCGCGUCAUCGUAUACCAUCGGCCCCACCGCAGCUUUGACUUCACAUCAACAGACAGUCGAGGCACUCACAUGGACGCGCCGGAGAAGAAGAAACGACUACCACGACCAAGGCCACGCCUUCGACAUUGCUCACCGCCGUCAUCAUUGCCACCGAAGCCACCGUGCACGUCCAGUCGUAGGAAACACCAAAGGGAUCAAAGUCUUCAAGACAUCGCCCUAAAGAGGGGAACAACGUUGAAGACGAUGCCACCGUCCGACCCUGCAGCAGGAUUUGAGUUUUCACAUAAGGACUUGAUCUGGGAGCAGGGUCGUGAGAUUUCCGACGACGCCUCCAAGGAGGAUAGCGACGCCCACAGGCACCAUCGCCGCCGGCCGGCUAGCAUCGGUCAGGCUUUCACCCGGAGCAGCCACUCCCACGCAGUAGACCGAGGUCGACCUGUACCUCCAUAA